RNAcentral lists this ribosomal RNA (439 nucleotides) under uncultured bacterium. Its description in RNAcentral is "partial 16S ribosomal RNA". It matches the Rfam family "Bacterial small subunit ribosomal RNA", at positions 338 to 795 of the family's 1533-position model. The record is from RNAcentral.
CCUACGGGUGGCAGCAGUGGGGAAUAUUGCACAAUGGGCGCAAGCCUGAUGCAGCAACGCCGCGUGAGCGAAGAAGGCCUUCGGGUCGUAAAGCUCUGUCCUCAAGGAAGAUAAUGACAGUACUUGUAGAGGAAGCCCCGGCUAACAACGUGCCAGCAGCCGCGGUAAUAGGUAGGGGGCUAGCGUUAUCCGGAAUUACUGGGCGAAAGGGGUGUGUAGGUGGUUUCUUAAGUCAGUGGUGAAAGGCUGCGGCUCAACCGUAAUAAGCCUUUGAAACUGGGAAACUUGAGUGCAGCAGAGGAGAGUGGAAUUCCUAGUGUAGCGGUGAAAUGCGUAGAUAUUAGGAAGAACACCAGUGGCGAAGGCAGCUCUCUGGACUGUAACUGACACUGAGGCACGAAAGCGUGGGGAGCAAACAGGAUUAGAUACCCCAGUAGUC